Molecule: transfer RNA, 71 nt
Filed under: Daphnia magna
Lineage: Eukaryota; Metazoa; Arthropoda; Branchiopoda; Diplostraca; Daphniidae
Rfam family: tRNA
About the family: Transfer RNA (tRNA) molecules are approximately 80 nucleotides in length.
Source: Rfam by way of RNAcentral
GACUUAUGGCUCAGUGGUAGAGCAUCGGCAUGGUACGUCGAAGAUAUAGGGUUCAAUUCCCAAAAGAGUCA